RNAcentral lists this ribosomal RNA (254 nucleotides) under uncultured bacterium. RNAcentral describes it as "partial 16S ribosomal RNA". It matches the Rfam family "Bacterial small subunit ribosomal RNA", at positions 524 to 776 of the family's 1533-position model. The record is from RNAcentral.
UACGUAGGGCGCAAGCGUUUGUCCGGAAUCAUUGGGCGUAAAGAGCUCGUAGGCGGCCUGUUGCGUCCGCUGUGAAAUCCCGGGGCUUAACCCCGGGCGUGCAGUGGAUACGGGCUGGCUGGAGGCAGGCAGGGGAGAACGGAAUUCCCGGUGUAGCGGUGAAAUGCGCAGAUAUCGGGAGGAACACCGGUGGCGAAGGCGGUUCUCUGGGCCUGUACUGACGCUGAGGAGCGAAAGCGUGGGGAGCGAACAGG